UACGAAGGGUGCAAGCGUUAAUCGGAAUUACUGGGCGUAAAGCGCGCGUAGGUGGUUCAGUAAGUUGGAAGUGAAAUCCCCGGGCUCAACCUGGGAACUGCUUUCAAAACUGCUGAGCUAGAGUACGAUAGAGGGUGGUGGAAUUUCCUGUGUAGCGGUGAAAUGCGUAGAUAUAGGAAGGAACACCAGUGGCGAAGGCGACCACCUGGACUGAUACUGACACUGAGGUGCGAAAGCGUGGGGAGCAAACAGG
This 253-nucleotide ribosomal RNA is filed under the name uncultured bacterium. RNAcentral describes it as "partial 16S ribosomal RNA". It matches the Rfam family "Bacterial small subunit ribosomal RNA", at positions 524 to 776 of the family's 1533-position model. The record is from RNAcentral.